GUGCCUCACUCAGUGGUAGAGUGCUUGUUUGACAUGCUGGAGGCCCUGGGUUCAAUUCUCAGCAACACA
Molecule: transfer RNA, 69 nt
Filed under: Marmota monax (woodchuck)
Lineage: Eukaryota; Metazoa; Chordata; Mammalia; Rodentia; Sciuridae
Description: tRNA.Val
Rfam family: tRNA (bases 8-62)
About the family: Transfer RNA (tRNA) molecules are approximately 80 nucleotides in length.
Source: RNAcentral